UGUGAUAAUUUCUCUUACUAUUUCUCUUCUUUUAAGGGGAAACAGAUGCAAAAUCCUUCAAUUGUGAUAAGUUCUGCACUGCUAACAGCUGAGACCAACAUUAUCACUCUUAACCAGUUCUCCAUGACCUUUCUUCCUGAACCUUAAUGAUACCUGACCCUGUUGGAUCCGGAUCCAGGGAGAUACAAUUACCACGGGGAAGCUGCAACCUCCCACCUCCGCCUUGCCUCUGAUUCUCAUCUACACCUCGCAAAGAAAAACUGCAGCUAUUACCACCAUUCUAUAUUCCAGUGCCUUGUGUGUUACUGGUUGUGAACUGCUGCCAAAGACAUAAACUGGAACGAAUAUGAUGGAACUGAAUUUGACUGAGAUUAACUGAACUGAGGAAGCACAGAUACUAAGUUUUUAGUGCUGUUGGGGUCACAUGCAUUGGUCCAGUCCAAAACUGUUGAUUUUGUCUGUUUUGUGUGUUUCCCUAUGAUUGACUGGAAAUGGUGUAGCCUGUUUUUCUCUAACUUAAUAAAAGAGAGUUUAGUCAAGCAUGAACUGAACUGAAUGGAACUGAAUUCAAUUAGGCUAAACUAAGAAUUAACCUGAAUGAAAUGGAAAUAAAGAUGUAUGCAGAAAUGCA
Molecule: long non-coding RNA, 631 nt
Organism: Poecilia latipinna (sailfin molly)
Lineage: Eukaryota; Metazoa; Chordata; Actinopteri; Cyprinodontiformes; Poeciliidae
Exons: 3
Source: RefSeq, a predicted model, not a curated record